Non-coding RNA from Rattus norvegicus (Norway rat), 117 nucleotides. The record is from Rfam. Lineage: Eukaryota; Metazoa; Chordata; Mammalia; Rodentia; Muridae.
ACUCCGGGGGUGAUGGCACCGGCGUAAGGAGUCCCCGGCCAACCUGGAUGGCCGAGCGCUCUAGGCUAGAUCUUUAUCGCGAUUGUAAAAGACGAUGUUUCCUGAGCAGCUGGAGGU